UGCAAGUCGAGCGGAAACGACUUAACUGAACCUUCGGGGAACGUUAAGGGCGUCGAGCGGCGGACGGGUGAGUAAUGCCUGGGAAAUUGCCCUGAUGUGGGGGAUAACCAUUGGAAACGAUGGCUAAUACCGCAUAAUAGCUUCGGCUCAAAGAGGGGGACCUUCGGGCCUCUCGCGUCAGGAUAUGCCCAGGUGGGAUUAGCUAGUUGGUGAGGUAAGGGCUCACCAAGGCGACGAUCCCUAGCUGGUCUGAGAGGAUGAUCAGCCACACUGGAACUAAGACACGGUCCAGACUCCUACGGGAGGCAGCAGUGGGGAAUAUUGCACAAUGGGCGCAAGCCUGAUGCAGCCAUGCCGCGUGUAUGAAGAAGGCCUUCGGGUUGUAAAGUACUUUCAGCAGUGAGGAAGGUGGUGUCAUUAAUAGCGGCAUCACUUGACGUUAGCUGUAGAAGAAGCACCGGCUAACUCCGUGCCAGCAGCCGCGGUAAUACGGAGGGUGCGAGCGUUAAUCGGAAUUACUGGGCGUAAAGCGCAUGCAGGUGGUUCGUUAAGUCAGAUGUGAAAGCCCGGGGCUCAACCUCGGAAUAGCAUUUGAAACUGGCGGACUAGAGUACUGUAAGGGGGGGGUAGAAUUUCAGGUGUAGCGGUGAAAUGCGUAGAGAUCUGAAGGAAUA
RNAcentral lists this ribosomal RNA (674 nucleotides) under uncultured Vibrio sp. RNAcentral describes it as "bacterial SSU rRNA". It matches the Rfam family "Bacterial small subunit ribosomal RNA", at positions 56 to 708 of the family's 1533-position model. Lineage: Bacteria; Pseudomonadati; Pseudomonadota; Gammaproteobacteria; Vibrionales; Vibrionaceae. The record is from RNAcentral.